This 261-nucleotide unclassified non-coding RNA is filed under the name plant metagenome. RNAcentral's name for it is "partial contains small subunit ribosomal RNA, internal transcribed spacer 1, and 5.8S ribosomal RNA". The record is from RNAcentral.
UUUCCGUAGGUGAACCUGCGGAAGGAUCAUUAUUGUAUAACCGAGGUGCGAGGGCUGUCGCUGACCCGAAAGGUCGUGCACGCCCGAGUGCCCUCACACAUCCAUCUCACCCCUAUGUGCACCACCGCGUGGGUCCCCCUUUGGCUUGUUCGGAGGGGGGCUUACGCUUUCACACAAACUUUGUAUGCAGUGUAGAAUGUAUUUUUUGUUUUUGCGAUCACGCAAUCAAUACAACUUUCAACAACGGAUCUCUUGGCUCUC